UCGGGAAUAUUGCGCAAUGGAGGAAACUCUGACGCAGUGACGCCGCGUGCAGGAAGAAGGUUUUCGGAUUGUAAACUGCUUUAGACAGGGAAGAAAAAAUGACAGUACCUGUAGAAUAAGCUCCGGCUAACUACGUGCCAGCAGCCGCGGUAAUACGUAGGGAGCGAGCGUUAUCCGGAUUUAUUGGGUGUAAAGGGUGCGUAGACGGGAAAUUAAGUUAGUUGUGAAAUCCCUCGGCUCAACUGAGGAACUGCAACUAAAACUGAUAUUCUUGAGUACUGGAGAGGAAGGUGGAAUUCCUAGUGUAGCGGUGAAAUGCGUAGAUAUUAGGAGGAACACCAGUGGCGAAGGCGACUUUCUGGACAGAAACUGACGUUGAGGCACGAAAGUGUGGGGAGCAAACAGGAUUAGAUACCC
RNAcentral lists this ribosomal RNA (417 nucleotides) under uncultured bacterium. RNAcentral's name for it is "bacterial SSU rRNA". It matches the Rfam family "Bacterial small subunit ribosomal RNA", at positions 355 to 787 of the family's 1533-position model. The record is from RNAcentral.